Molecule: ribosomal RNA, 253 nt
Filed under: uncultured bacterium
Lineage: Bacteria
Description: partial 16S ribosomal RNA
Rfam family: Bacterial small subunit ribosomal RNA
Source: RNAcentral
GACGAGUCUCACGAACGUUAUUCGGAAUUACUGGGCUUAAAGGGCGCGUAGGCGGUGGAGUAAGUCGGAUGUGAAAUACCAUAGCUUAACUAUGGAACUGCACUCGAUACUACUUUGCUUGAGUAAGACAGAGGUGAGUGGAACUGAGGGUGGAGCGGUGAAAUGCGUUGAUAUCCUCAGGAACACCGGUGGCGAAGGCGACUCACUGGGUCUUUACUGACGCUGAUGCACGAAAGCUAGGGUAGCAAACGGG